CGUUGAGCCAGGUUGGCGACCGGUUGUGUCUUUAAAAUCUUGCCAACCUGGAAAAAUGUUUUUAAUUAAUACAGAAAAGAAAUAUUUUUAAAAAAUGUUUAUAAAUGUCACGUCUUAUCGUGCCUGUAAAUGUCACAUAAGUUUUUUUUUUAUAUAUUGAAUCAUUAAUUUUAUGUUUUUCGGACUUUAAAUAUUUGGAAUGAACUUUUUGUAAAGAUUUCAGUUCACAAGCAUUUACAAGUCUAUGCAGCAAUGGUAAAUGUAUGCGGGCAGAUGUUAUAAGUCCCAAGGCUCUUACUCAACCAAGAACUGUAAAUCAUAAACUAUCGUAUAAUGUUCCAACAGGACCUAUUCUUCUACGAUCGAAAGCCAUAAGACAUGAUCCAUUGUAUGAGAUUCAAUCAGAAACAGUAAAAUCAUCACCCCUAACUCUUCAACGGCAGAAGGCUGUAAGACGUGAGCCAAAGUUUUAUAAUAAUAAAAAUCAGCGAAAACAGAAAAGUAAAUGGUAUAAUCCACAAUCAAU
Belonocnema kinseyi is the source of this 526-nucleotide long non-coding RNA. RefSeq lists it as uncharacterized. The transcript is spliced from 2 exons. The record is from RefSeq and is a predicted model, not a curated record. NCBI's taxonomy places the organism in Eukaryota, Metazoa, Arthropoda, Insecta, Hymenoptera, Cynipidae.